RNAcentral lists this ribosomal RNA (1362 nucleotides) under Clostridioides difficile. RNAcentral's name for it is "partial 23S ribosomal RNA". It matches the Rfam family "Bacterial large subunit ribosomal RNA", at positions 1309 to 2681 of the family's 2925-position model. Lineage: Bacteria; Bacillati; Bacillota; Clostridia; Peptostreptococcales; Peptostreptococcaceae. The record is from RNAcentral.
GCGAAAAGGGAUGUGAGAAUCAUCCCCGUCGAAAGCCCAAGGAUUCCUGAGCAAGGCUCGUCCUCUCAGGGUAAGUCGGGACCUAAGGCGAGGCCGAAAGGCGUAGUCGAUGGACAACAGGUAGAAAUUCCUGUACUACAAGAUUGUGAUUGAGAGAAGUACUGACGCAGAAGGAAAAGUCGAGCGUGUGAAUGGUAGAACACGUCCAAGUAACAAGCCAGAAUAUACAGGCAAAUCCGUAUAUUCGCUAACGUAAGUUAUCAUGGGGAGCAGAAAGAUGCGAAGCGACAAAUUCAAACUGCCAAGAAAAGGUGCUAUCGAAUAAUCUUGUACCCGUACCGCAAACCGACACAGGUAGGCAAGAAGAGAAUUCUAAGACGCGCGGAAGAACCUUUGUUAAGGAACUCGGCAAAAUAAUCCCGUAAGUUAGCGAGAAGGGAUGCCUAAGAAAUUAGGUCGCAGAGAAUAGGCCCAAGCGACUGUUUACCAAAAACACAAGUAUCUGCUAAAUCGAAAGAUGAAGUAUAGGUGCUGACACCUGCCCGGUGCUGGAAGGUCAAGGGGACUUGUUAGAGCAAUCGAAGCAACGAACUUAAGCCCCAGUAAACGGCGGCCGUAACUAUAACGGUCCUAAGGUAGCGAAAUUCCUUGUCGGGUAAGUUCCGACCCGCACGAAAGGUGUAACGAUUUGGGCGCUGUCUCAACAAAGGAUCCGGUGAAAUUGUAGUAGUCGUGAAGAUGCGACUUACCCACGGUAGGACGGAAAGACCCCGUGGAGCUUUACUGCAGGUUGACAUUGAAUUUUGGGAUUAAAUGUACAGGAUAGGUGGGAGACUAAGAAGCAAGCUCGCCAGAGUUUGCAGAGUCACUGUUGGGAUACCACCCUUUUAAUUCUAAAGUUCUAACUAGUUGCCAUGAAACUGGUAAUAGGACACUGUCAGUCGGGCAGUUUGACUGGGGCGGUCGCCUCCAAAAAAGUAACGGAGGCGUUCAAAGGUUCGCUCAGAAUGGUUGGAAAUCAUUCAAAGAGUACAAAGGCAAAAGCGAGCUUAACUGCGAGACAUACAGGUCGAGCAGAGACGAAAGUCGGACUUAGUGAUCCGGUGGUACCGAGUGGAAGGGCCAUCGCUCAACGGAUAAAAGCUACCCCGGGGAUAACAGGCUUAUCUCCCCCAAGAGUCCACAUCGACGGGGAGGUUUGGCACCUCGAUGUCGGCUCGUCUCAUCCUGGAGCUGGAGUAGGUUCCAAGGGUUGGGCUGUUCGCCCAUUAAAGAGGCACGCGAGCUGGGUUCAGAACGUCGUGAGACAGUUCGGUCCCUAUCCACCGUGGGCGUGAGAAAUUUGAGAGGAUCUGUCCUUAG